This is a long non-coding RNA of Passer domesticus (house sparrow), 1491 nucleotides long. RefSeq lists it as uncharacterized. The transcript has 3 exons. The record is from RefSeq and is a predicted model, not a curated record. Lineage: Eukaryota; Metazoa; Chordata; Aves; Passeriformes; Passeridae.
CGACUGCCUGAGUUUGCAAGGCACCUCUGGAAGCCAUCUGGUCCAACCCACCUGCCCAAGCAGGCUCAGCUAGACCUUGCUGUCUAGGGGUCUCUGCCUUUGGGUUUUGAAUAUCUCCAAGGGAUGGAGGUUGCACAACCUCUCUGGGCAAUUUGUGUCAGUGCUUGGUCACUCUGACAGUUUGCAGCUCAGAAGAGGAUUCCUUGCAAUGCAUGGCUGAAAAUAAUGGUGUAAGGAGAUCUGGGAGAAUUCUCCACUCCCACCUCUGCCACUCCUACCUCUAUUAAAAACUGGGAGCAGAACAUUUCUACUGCUUGUUUUUCCAUCAAGCAGCUGUAUGAGUUAAAUUACGUUUUGUGAUACCCUGGAGUUCUAGGACACAGUACAUAUCAAUCAUAAUAGUGAGAGGAUUCAUUCCCCCUGAACAGUCCAAACCUCUGAUUUUGGGAAGAAAGUAAUAAUGUAAGUAAUGAAUUUACUCUGCCAUUCUAAAGCUCUGUGUUUAUGUGUGCACAUGCUUGUUUGGGAAUUGUGCUACUACAGGGGCUGGAGAGUCAAACCCAAGUUUGGCACCAUGAUAAAGUGUUACCCUGAUCUAAUAUGAUCUCUGGAGUUUAUUUGAGCAGUUGUGGAUACUGAUGAUGCAUUGUCCAGACAGCAAUCCAAAGUAAUGGAUUUGUACCAUGUAUAACACAGAACAAGCUCCGUACCUGGUCCAGAGAAAUUAAGGUUUUAGUGGCCACCAAGAAAUGCAUGAUUGUUCUUUUGGUUUUGGGUUUAAUUUAACCCUUGAUAUCAAAAUAUGCUAUAACUUGCUAGUAAAACAGCUUGUAGUUCCAACUUCUUUCCUCAGCCUGACCAUGCUGAAAGUGUUUCACUGAAUUGUACUACUUUUCCUACUGCACAGGAGCACCUCUCCUAUGGGGACAGGCUGAGGGAGCUGGGGCUGUUAAGCCUGGAAAAGAGAAGGCUCCAGGGAGACUUCAGAGCACCUUCCAGGACACAAAGGGGGCCUGCAAGAGAGCUGGAGAGGGACUUUUCACAGGGGCAUGUAGUGACAGGAUAAGGGGAAAUGGCAUUAAGGUGAAAGAGAGGAGGUUUAGACUGAAAAUUGGAAAGAAAGCCUUCACUGUGUAGGUGGUGAGGCAUGGAAAAAAGUGGCCCAGAAAAGCUGUGGAUGCCCCAUCCCUGGGAGUGUUCACAUCCAGGUUGGAUGGGGCUCUGAGCCACCUGGCCUAGUGGAAGAUGUCUCUGCCCAUGCCCAUGGCAUCAAGUUGGAACUCAAUGAUCUUUAAGUCCCUUCCGAUCCAAACCAUAAACCAUAUGGUUUUAGGAUUCAUGGCUAAUUACUCACUGUAAGCUUUUAUCAGUAAGUAGUCUGGAAAAUAUUUAUGUUUUCACUGAUAUUCCACAUAUUUUAACUGUGUACUAAAUGCAUUAAUUUUAGGUGUUAUUAAAAUUAAUUUGAGGAUCAAAUUUUAAAAUGUGCUA